This 468-nucleotide ribosomal RNA is filed under the name uncultured bacterium. Its description in RNAcentral is "partial 16S ribosomal RNA". It matches the Rfam family "Bacterial small subunit ribosomal RNA", at positions 28 to 507 of the family's 1533-position model. The record is from RNAcentral.
GACGAACGCUGGCGGCGUGCUUAACACAUGCAAGUCGAACGGAAAGGCCCUGCUUUUGUGGGGUGCUCGAGUGGCGAACGAGUGAGUAACACGUGAGUAACCUGCCCUUGACUUUGGGAUAACUUCAGGAAACUGGGGCUAAUACCGGAUAGGAGCUCCUGCUGCAUGGUGGGGGUUGGAAAGUUUCGGCGGUUGGGGAUGGACUCGCGGCUUAUCAGCUUGUUGGUGGGGUAGUGGCUUACCAAGGCUUUGACGGGUAGCCGGCCUGAGAGGGUGACCGGCCACAUUGGGACUGAGAUACGGCCCAGACUCCUAUGGGAGGCAGCAGUGGGGAAUAUUGCACAAUGGGCGGAAGCCUGAUGCAGCAACGCCGCGUGCGGGAUGACGGCCUUCGGGUUGUAAACCGCUUUCGCCUGUGACGAAGCGUGAGUGACGGUAAUGGGUAAAGAAGCACCGGCUAACUACGUG